GAUGAACGCUGGCGGCGUGCCUAAUACAUGCAAGUCGAGCGAACGGACGAGAAGCUUGCUUUUCUGAUGUUAGCGGCGGACGGGUGAGUAACACGUGGAUAACCUACCUAUAAGACUGGGAUAACUUCGGGAAACCGGAGCUAAUACCGGAUAAUAUUUUGAACCGCAUGGUUCAAAAGUGAAAGACGGUCUUGCUGUCACUUAUAGAUGGAUCCGCGCUGCAUUAGCUAGUUGGUAAGGUAACGGCUUACCAAGGCAACGAUGCAUAGCCGACCUGAGAGGGGUGACAGCCACCAUGGGAGUGUGAACCGGGACAGGCCCCCUCGGGGGGGAGCAGGAAGGAAACCUCCCGAAAGGGGGGAAGGCCGAACGAAACACCGCGGAGUGGGUAAGAAAGGUCUAGGGUGCGAAAAACUUUUUUAUGGGGAAAAAAAAUAUGUGAAAGAAACGGUACACAUCUGAAGGGUAACAAACAAAAAAGCCACGGCAAACUACGUG
Molecule: ribosomal RNA, 498 nt
Filed under: uncultured bacterium
Lineage: Bacteria
Description: partial 16S ribosomal RNA
Rfam family: Bacterial small subunit ribosomal RNA
Source: RNAcentral